This 207-nucleotide ribosomal RNA is filed under the name Triticum aestivum (bread wheat). Its description in RNAcentral is "partial small subunit ribosomal RNA". The record is from RNAcentral. Lineage: Eukaryota; Viridiplantae; Streptophyta; Magnoliopsida; Poales; Poaceae.
AUGCCCGUAGGAUCCGAUAAUGACAUAUUGGAUGAUGACGAGGAAGCAAUCUUGUCUAGCGCUAAACCUAGUGAGAUUGAUCCAUUUGACAGUGUCUACUCAAACAUACCAGACAACACUCACAUCCUGAAACUUGCCGAUAAUUGCAAACACCGCAAGGCCAGGAAGUUUGAGUCUGAGACUGACGGUUUCUGCUGUCGCAAUGGC